RNAcentral lists this unclassified non-coding RNA (223 nucleotides) under Hevea brasiliensis (rubber tree). Lineage: Eukaryota; Viridiplantae; Streptophyta; Magnoliopsida; Malpighiales; Euphorbiaceae. The record is from RNAcentral.
GUGGUGGUCGAGGGAAAAGCGGGCUCCGGGGCAGAGGAACGUUUCGAGGCAGAGGAGGAUUCAGAGGGAGAGGAAGGGGGGUCUUUAGAACUGGGGAGAGAUGGGAGAGAGGAAGAGUUCAAGAUAUGGAGGAUGGAUAUGCUGCAGGACUUUAUUUAGGCGACAAUGCAGACGGUGAAAAGCUGGCAAAGAGGAUUGGGACUGAACAUAUGAACCAACUGGU